This is a regulatory RNA element of Eubacterium nodatum ATCC 33099, 91 nucleotides long. It matches the Rfam family "pan motif". The record is from Rfam. Lineage: Bacteria; Bacillati; Bacillota; Clostridia; Peptostreptococcales; Anaerovoracaceae.
GAGAUGGCAUUUACAGGUAAAGCUAUACUCUGUUAUAUACACUUUUUAUAAAAAUUUAUGAGCUUAUAUUGUAACCGAAUGAGACUCUAGU